AUUGAACGCUGGCGGCAUGCCUUACACAUGCAAGUCGAACGGUAACAGGUCUUCGGAUGCUGACGAGUGGCGAACGGGUGAGUAAUACAUCGGAACGUGCCUAGUAGUGGGGGAUAACUACUCGAAAGAGUGGCUAAUACCGCAUGAGAUCUACGGAUGAAAGCAGGGGAUCGCAAGACCUUGUGCUACUGGAGCGGCCGGUGGCAGAUUAGGUAGUUGGUGGGAUAAAAGCUUACCAAGCCGACGAUCUGUAGCUGGUCUGAGAGGACGAUCAGCCACACUGGGACUGAGACACGGCCCAGACUCCUACGGGAGGCAGCAGUGGGGAAUUUUGGACAAUGGGCGAAAGCCUGAUCCAGCAAUGCCGCGUGCAGGAUGAAGGCCUUCGGGUUGUAAACUGCUUUUGUACGGAACGAAAAGCCCCGGGUUAAUACCCUGGGGUCAUGACGGUACCGUAAGAAUAAGCACCGGCUAACUCCGUGCCAGCCGCCGCCGUAA
RNAcentral lists this ribosomal RNA (498 nucleotides) under uncultured bacterium. Its description in RNAcentral is "partial 16S ribosomal RNA". It matches the Rfam family "Bacterial small subunit ribosomal RNA", at positions 30 to 523 of the family's 1533-position model. The record is from RNAcentral.